AUGAGGGCCAGACAUGAUGCACGAGGUGCAAUCAAAGAAAUAAAAGCAAAACUGGAUAGCCCUGCGGAUGGAGCUGAUGUGGAGCUUGCUGGAGCUGAUGCCAAGAAGGUGAUAUCUUCACAUGAGCGAAAAGAAGCUCAGACCAGGGAGCUUGCUGGAGUUCAUGCUGAAGCUGAUGAUACUGCUAGAGCUGAUGUGAAGAAGACGCAAGCGAAGGUGUCAGUCUUGACACCUUCAGAUGGAGCUGAUGUGAAGGAGUUGCAAGCGAAGGUGCCAGUCCCGACAACAUCGCGAUCUUUGGUUGAGCUUGCUGGAGCUGAUGCCAAGAAGGUGAUAUCUUCGAAUGAGCGAAAAGAAGCUCAGACCAGGGAGGUGCCACCUGAUGAAGUUGAGUGGGCAAGGUGGUUGAAGCGUAGGCGUGCAGGUCUAAAGGUCAUGGACCUACUGAUGGAAUGA
Molecule: ribosomal RNA, 456 nt
Filed under: Triticum aestivum (bread wheat)
Lineage: Eukaryota; Viridiplantae; Streptophyta; Magnoliopsida; Poales; Poaceae
Description: partial small subunit ribosomal RNA
Source: RNAcentral